This is a long non-coding RNA of Oxyura jamaicensis (ruddy duck), 596 nucleotides long. RefSeq lists it as uncharacterized. The record is from RefSeq and is a predicted model, not a curated record. Lineage: Eukaryota; Metazoa; Chordata; Aves; Anseriformes; Anatidae. The transcript is spliced from 3 exons.
AGCUUCCUAGACUAGGGCUAAAUUCACAGAAAAAUGUGCUGUUACAAUAUGUGCCUUGCAAAGAUAUUGCUGCCUAGCAAAAUCCCUCCAUAGCACCAUGGGAUGAGGGUACCAUGCACACCUGCAGAGAGCAGGAGGAAAGCUGGGCAUGUCUGGAUUUAUUCCCACAUGUUGACUCACAACUAUGCUACUCAAAGCCAAAACCACUCCUAGUAACACAGUCACCAGCAGCAGCUGCCAACCAGCCAGAGCAGAUAACAGCAAAGACAAACUUUCCGUCUGCUUUAACUUGAAACUUGAAUCUUGGUGGAAGAGGGAUUUGAGCUGUAGGAAGUAGUAACUGGAGACAUAUUUAGGGACCUCUCGUCAAUGAUCAAUAAAUCAAUGGCUUUAUAAACAGUGGAAGUUCUUGCAUCUGGAAAGCUCUUUAUAGCUACUCUCUUCAGUGCCAAAAGUGAGGAAUAGCCACACUAGAUUAGACAUAAAGAAUCAUCCAUGCCAGGAACUUGUUUCUGACAGAGUUUGGUCAGAUGCCUCAGAGGAAGGAUCUGCAGUCAGACGUAAGGGCACAGCUCACCCUCUAGCAUGAAGAUAAU